Molecule: ribosomal RNA, 245 nt
Filed under: uncultured Lactobacillus sp.
Lineage: Bacteria; Bacillati; Bacillota; Bacilli; Lactobacillales; Lactobacillaceae
Description: partial 16S ribosomal RNA
Rfam family: Bacterial small subunit ribosomal RNA
Source: RNAcentral
UGGGGAACCUGCCCCAUAGUCUGGGAUACCACUUGGAAACAGGUGCUAAUACCGGAUAAGAAAGCGGAUCGCAUGAUCAGCUUUUAAAAGGCGGCGUAAGCUGUCGCUAUGGGAUGGCCCCGCGGUGCAUUAGCUAGUUGGUAAGGUAAAGGCUUACCAAGGCGAUGAUGCAUAGCCGAGUUGAGAGACUGAUCGGCCACAUUGGGACUGAGACACGGCCCAAACUCCUACGGGAGGCAGCAGAG